This 400-nucleotide ribosomal RNA is filed under the name uncultured bacterium. RNAcentral describes it as "bacterial SSU rRNA". It matches the Rfam family "Bacterial small subunit ribosomal RNA", at positions 355 to 767 of the family's 1533-position model. The record is from RNAcentral.
UGGGGAAUAUUGCACAAUGGGCGGAAGCCUGAUGCAGCAACGCCGCGUGCGGGAUGACGGCCUUCGGGUUGUAAACCGCUUUCAGCAGGGACGAAGCGUGAGUGACGGUACCUGCAGAAGAAGCACCGGCUAACUACGUGCCAGCAGCCGCGGUGAUACGUAGGGUGCGAGCGUUGUCCGGAUUUAUUGGGCGUAAAGAGCUUGUAGGCGGUUUGUCGCGUCGGGAGUGAAAACUCAGGGCUUAACCCUGAGCCUGCUUCCGAUACGGGCAGACUUGAGGAAGGUAGGGGAGAAUGGAAUUCCUGGUGAAGCGGUGGAAUGCGUAGAUAUCAGGAGGAACACCAGUGGCGAAGGCGGUUCUCUGGACCUUUCCUGACGCUGAGAAGCGAAAGCGUGGGGA